AUUGAACGCUGGCGGCGUGGCUAAAGCAUGCAAGUCGCACGGAGCCGCAAGGCUCAGUGGCGACGGGUUAGUAAUACGAUCGAACGUACCCUGAGGUGGAGGAUAGCGGGCGGGAAACCGCCGGUAAUACUCCAUGAUCUCCCCCGGAGCAAAGUCGCAAGGCGCCUUUGGAUCGGCGAUCGUCCUAUCAGCUAGUUGGCGGGGUAACGGCCCACCAAGGCGAUGACGGGUAGCAGGUGUGAGAGCACGACCUGCAACAUCGGGGCUGAGACACUGCCCGGACUCCUACGGGAGGCUGCAGCGACGAAUCUU
RNAcentral lists this ribosomal RNA (312 nucleotides) under uncultured bacterium. RNAcentral's name for it is "bacterial SSU rRNA". It matches the Rfam family "Bacterial small subunit ribosomal RNA", at positions 30 to 365 of the family's 1533-position model. The record is from RNAcentral.